UGUCAUGAUUGCAUUUCAUUCUCUUCUCUCUUAAUCUUACUGUGCACUGAGAAUGAAUUUCUCAUUGUGAUCAUUCUAUUAAAGAUCUCUUCCAUAUCAGUAUGAUAGACUUCGUAGGUCCUUGUGUUAAUUAAUGUGAGUUGUUAAGCAGAACAAUGCAGUCUCGCAAUUUUGGUCAUCUAGCUGUUACGUUUCUUCCAUCUUCACAAAUUCGACAUUUUGGGAGCUUCAUAGUGGAAUAAUGCAAUAAUGCAAGGCAAAACGAUAGUUUGAUUUUGAAGGUGUAAGAGUGAUGAAAUCAAAGGCUCAAAAGAUGCCACUUGUCAUUAGAUUAACGAGGUUGUUAGACAAGUUGUCUUUUACUGUACCUUAGUGAGCAAGCUUUGUAAUAACUCAUAUAAAACCGAUUCUCUCUUGUAUUGUAAGUAACUUGAUCAAUAAGAAAAGAUCUCUUUCUCUCUGCA
This is a long non-coding RNA of Pyrus x bretschneideri (Chinese white pear), 464 nucleotides long. RefSeq lists it as uncharacterized. The transcript has 2 exons. The record is from RefSeq and is a predicted model, not a curated record. NCBI's taxonomy places the organism in Eukaryota, Viridiplantae, Streptophyta, Magnoliopsida, Rosales, Rosaceae.